Molecule: ribosomal RNA, 449 nt
Filed under: uncultured bacterium
Lineage: Bacteria
Description: partial 16S ribosomal RNA
Rfam family: Bacterial small subunit ribosomal RNA
Source: RNAcentral
AGCGAACGCUGGCGGCAGGCCUAACACAUACAAGUCGAACGAACUCUUCGGAGUUAGUGGCGGACGGGUGAGUAACACGUGGGAACGUGCCUUUAGGUUCGGAAUAACUCAUGGAAACUUGUGCUAAUACCGAAUGUGCCCUUCGGGGGAAAGAUUUAUCGCCUUUAGAGCGGCCCGCGUCUGAUUAGCUAGUUGGUGAGGUAAAGGCUCACCAAGGCGACGAUCAGUAGCUGGUCUGAGAGGAUGAUCAGCCACAUUGGGACUGAGACACGGCCCAAACUCCUACGGGAGGCAGCAGUGGGGAAUCCUGCGCAAUGGGCGAAAGCCUGACGCAGCUAUGCCGCGUGAAUGAUGAAGGUCUUAGGAUUGUAAAAUUCUUUCACCGGGGACGAUAAUGACGGUACCCGGAGAAGAAGCCCCGGCUAACUUCGUGCCAGCCGCCGCUGUAA